AGGUAAAAAAGAAAGAGGAAUCAAAGAAAAGAAAGGAAGGGCAGAAAAUAAAAGAAAGAAAAGUGAGAACAAGGAAGAGAGCAAGAUUCAGAGGCAGGGAAGACCUGAGUCUGGGGAGAGGGCAGGAAUGUGCCCUGUGGGGCUCAGGCGUGUCCCUUCAUGUCACAUCCUGGUGCUGGUGGUGACCUGAUUUUGACUCAUCCAAAAAAUGAUCAAAAGAGAGGGAAACAAAGACUAGGACAUCUAGCACAAUGUUGAAAAGUAUGGCCCAGACCCUAUCAGAAUAAUCCCAGCCCAUCAUAGCAAAAUUGGUGAAAACAAAAAAAAAGGGAAAAAUGACAAAACAGCCAGAGGAAAAAGACAUCUAUUUUCAAAAGAUUAAUAAUAAGGCAAAUGGCUGACUUUUCAACAGAAGCAAUAGAAACCAAAGACAAUAGAGUGACAUAUUGAAAUUGCUGAAAGAAAAUUACUGCCAAUCUAGGGUUCUGUAUCUAGAGAAAAUAUCUUUCAAAAAUGAAAACGAAAUAAAUAUGUUUUUGGAUGAA
Gorilla gorilla gorilla (western lowland gorilla) is the source of this 545-nucleotide long non-coding RNA. RefSeq lists it as uncharacterized. The record is from RefSeq and is a predicted model, not a curated record. The transcript is spliced from 2 exons. NCBI's taxonomy places the organism in Eukaryota, Metazoa, Chordata, Mammalia, Primates, Hominidae.